CAGCAGCCGCGGUAAUACGAAGGGUGCAAGCGUUACUCGGAAUUACUGGGCGUAAAGCGUGCGUAGGUGGUGGUUUAAGUCCGUUGUGAAAGCCCUGGGCUCAACCUGGGAAUUGCAGUGGAUACUGGCUGGCUAGAGUGUGUCAGAGGAUGGUGGAAUUUCCGCGUGUAGCAGUGAAAUGCGUAGAUAUGCGGAGGAACACCGAUGGCGAAGGCAAUCCCCUGGACCUGUACUGACGCCCAUGCACGAAAGCGUGGGGAGCAAACAGGAUUAGAUACCCGAGUAGUCCCUGUCUCUUAUA
This 301-nucleotide ribosomal RNA is filed under the name uncultured bacterium. Its description in RNAcentral is "partial 16S ribosomal RNA". It matches the Rfam family "Bacterial small subunit ribosomal RNA", at positions 509 to 808 of the family's 1533-position model. The record is from RNAcentral.